UGCAAAUCGGUGGUUUGGAUCAUGGGGCUCUUGGCUGAAAGACUUGCUACUUGUUUUGGGAAUCAUCACCUUACCUGUGUUUCUCUUGCAGGUGCCCAUACUGUUGCUGUGGUAUCUUCCAUUACAACCAGAAUACUGCCAAAGGAGCCACCUCCAUGCUAAUGAAACCCCUUCCUGGCUGCUCAGGGCACAUUGCAGGAAACCUGGGGCCUGUAUGAUUAUAGGAGCCAGUCACACGAGGCGUGAAGUGUUGGAGGAGGUCAUUCAAUGAGGGCAGGAUUGGAGGUUACCCAUAAGCUGGGCUCCUGGCCUCCUCUGUGUCCUUGGAAUGUACCUUCUACAUACUGAUGGGACCCCCAGAGCCAUUUUCAAGGGUAUGGCUGUGACAGACAAAUAUGUGGCUGUGAUCAUCUGGACUAUAAUGUGACUUCACCCAGGUAGGGCCUCUCUAUAUAAACUUUCAGUUUCUGGCAGGUGGGUACAGAGGCCCACUCAUUUUUCCACCACCCAAGACAGGCCUCAUAUGUAAGUUCCCUUGCUUAUUAAACCUGCCACCUGGCUACCUGGAGAGGCCGCCUCCUUCUUCCAUAUGUCCUUGCCCUCCAUGUGCGGGGGGCCCAGUUUCACAUUUCACCCAGGAAACUUUGCAAAACAACGCAUGCCUUAUCUUUCAGUUGUCCUUUUAGCCUCAGAAAUAUAAAUAUUCAGUAUUAUUGGAACAAGAAAUGCCCUCAAUCAGCUUGUGACUUUGCCCAGAAGCCCUGCAAAGAGGACAGCCUGCUUACUUCUGUCCCCAAUUACAUACACUUCAAGCCUUUAUACUGGACUGUGACCAGAAAUAGUACUAUAAUUUUUCACGAGUGCAAACUCCAUAAGGCCAGGGAUGGUUUUUCUUUUGUUCACUUGUAAGUAUCAAAAUCCUGUCCAGGAUCAGGAAUACAAGAGACACUCAUCAAUGCUUAUCAAAUGAAUACAGGUCAUUGUUUAAACUAUAUGUUCUAAACUGAAGAAAUCUAAUGUUUUAUUACUUCUUUUUCAACAGAUUUGCUCCACUCAGUUUUCUAUAUUAAAACUUUCCCACAAAUAUCAUGAUGUUUACAUGGAAAAAUUGUAAAAAAAAAAAAUUCUUGCAAAGCUCUGGCAAUUUAAAAGGGAUUUACUCUCUGCAGUAGAAAAAUAUUCCAUUUGGAAAAUAUGCAAACAGAGGACAUCCAGAAAAGUACAAGGUGAGGCACAAAGAAAGAAAAACCCAAGCCAAAGCAGGAAAGGUUAUUACAAGCAGCAUGGAAGGCUGAGAAGAACAAGAGUUGAAGAUGGAGAAUGGCUGAACUCAACGUUCCUUUCACUUUAAGAGAAAUUCAAAAAGAACAUUAAAAAAAUUAGCUUUCACAUUUAUCCAAAUAGACAAUGUAUGUUAUAGUCUACAAAUAGGUGUUUGAAAACCAUCAUUCUCAUCUUCAAUAGUAUUUACUGAGUGACAAAAGUACCCUGAGAGAUCAACAGUUAAAAUGACAGUCAAGCCAUUUGAUACAGAGGUGAAAAGAAGCAAGAACCACAUGUUGCAAAACUGAAAUACCAAAUGAAGUUGUGACGUGUGAGUAACAGGGUCACAGAUGUUCAGAUGCCAUUUGUUGAGACUGGGCUCCAAAGGCCAGACUCAACAAACCAUGGAAAUUUUAAAUUUGGGAGCAUUGAUAUUAUUAAAAUAUUAUGAUUUAAGUGGACUUUAAACUUUAUAAUAGUAGUUCUUAUUUGUCCUACUUUUACUUAAGAUCAUGCUCUUGAUUUUUUUUUUUUCCUUUUUU
RNAcentral lists this long non-coding RNA (1805 nucleotides) under Vulpes vulpes (red fox). Its description in RNAcentral is "lncRNA (ENSVVUG00000021797.1)". Lineage: Eukaryota; Metazoa; Chordata; Mammalia; Carnivora; Canidae. The record is from RNAcentral.